GAGAAAAUGCCGUUUUGGUAUGAGGCAACGUAGUGUUUCCGUUUGUCCACUGGCAUCACAUCGAUGUAACCACCCACAUCAUUCCUGAUGACUCCAGCGUGGACUGCUGCUCGGCAUAUACUGGACUUCUACAGAGGUAUGCAAGACGAAAGGUGAGGUCCUCUGUGGGGGGCUUGGUGGGGGCUGGGGCAGGGAGACUGGGAGGCUCGGGCUUGGAGGCCCUAGACCAGGGUUUCUGUGGAGCGCGGGGGGCCUCCGGCUCAAUGAAGUUGUUUUCUUCCGUUUCCUCUUGUGGAGGGUUGGAGCUGUCAUCUUCGAGUAAAGUCACAGAAACAAGUCCCCAGUUCAGUCCCAAAGCAACUCCAGCCCUUGUUGGCUCCCUCAGAAGGAGACAGCCAGCCUCUUCUUCAUGUAAAGAAAAGCUAGGUACGUAGCUCCUCCUAGAACGCCUAUCAACA
This is a long non-coding RNA of Epinephelus lanceolatus (giant grouper), 458 nucleotides long. RefSeq lists it as uncharacterized. The record is from RefSeq and is a predicted model, not a curated record. NCBI's taxonomy places the organism in Eukaryota, Metazoa, Chordata, Actinopteri, Perciformes, Serranidae.